ACUCCUACGGGAGGCAGCAGUGGGGAAUAUUGCACAAUGGGCGCAAGCCUGAUGCAGCCAUGCCGCGUGUAUGAAGAAGGCCUUCGGGUUGUAAAGUACUUUCAGCGGGGAGGAAGGCGAUAAGGUUAAUAACCUUGUCGAUUGACGUUACCCGCAGAAGAAGCACCGGCUAACUCCGUGCCAGCAGCCGCGGUAAUACGGAGGGUGCAAGCGUUAAUCGGAAUUACUGGGCGUAAAGCGCACGCAGGCGGUCUGUCAAGUCGGAUGUGAAAUCCCCAGGCUCAACCUGGGAACUGCAUUCGAAACUGGCAGGCUAGAGUCUUGUAGAGGGGGGUAGAAUUCCAGGUGUAGCGGUGAAAUGCGUAGAGAUCUGGAGGAAUACCGGUGGCGAAGGCGGCCCCCUGGACAAAGACUGACGCUCAGGUGCGAAAGCGUGGGGAGCAAACAGGAUUAGAUACCCGUGUAGUCCCAUG
This 473-nucleotide ribosomal RNA is filed under the name uncultured organism. RNAcentral's name for it is "partial 16S ribosomal RNA". It matches the Rfam family "Bacterial small subunit ribosomal RNA", at positions 335 to 799 of the family's 1533-position model. The record is from RNAcentral.